This 222-nucleotide long non-coding RNA is filed under the name Coffea arabica (coffee). RNAcentral describes it as "long non-coding RNA (CARA_LNC004424)". The record is from RNAcentral. Lineage: Eukaryota; Viridiplantae; Streptophyta; Magnoliopsida; Gentianales; Rubiaceae.
UAUAGAAUUAGUUCAUUUCUCUCCUCCGUGGCCAAUCUUAAAAGACUUUCUUCGUCCUGUAAAAGUUCCUCUGAGAUCUCUUCUUUCUUUAUGCUACCAAUCUCCUUGUUUUGUCUCUCUAGAUCCUUCAUAUUUCUGUAGAUCUUAAUUGUUUCUGUAAAUCUGACACAGAUGCAAUGGGAUGUGCGAUAUGUUGGAUUGUGUUUCUGUGAGAGGAGGAAU